RNAcentral lists this ribosomal RNA (253 nucleotides) under uncultured bacterium. Its description in RNAcentral is "partial 16S ribosomal RNA". It matches the Rfam family "Bacterial small subunit ribosomal RNA", at positions 524 to 776 of the family's 1533-position model. The record is from RNAcentral.
UACAGAGGGUGCAAGCGUUAAUCGGAAUUACUGGGCGUAAAGAGCACGUAGGUGGUACUGCAAGUCAUUUGUGAAAGACCAGGGCUUAACCUUGGGGAGUCAGGUGAAACUGCAGAGCUAGAGUACAGGAGAGGGGAGUGGAAUUUCCGGUGUAGCGGUGAAAUGCGUAGAUAUCGGAAGGAACACCAGUGGCGAAGGCGGCUCUCUGGUCUGAUACUGACACUGAGGUGCGAAAGCGUGGGGAGCAAACAGG